Molecule: ribosomal RNA, 252 nt
Filed under: uncultured bacterium
Lineage: Bacteria
Description: partial 16S ribosomal RNA
Rfam family: Bacterial small subunit ribosomal RNA
Source: RNAcentral
UACGGAGGAUGCGAGCGUUAUCCGGAUUUAUUGGGUUUAAAGGGUGCGUAGGCGGACGCUUAAGUCAGUGGUAAAAUUGCGGGGCUCAACCUCGUCGAGCCGUUGAAACUGGGUGCCUUGAGUGGGCGAGAAGUACGCGGAAUGCGUGGUGUAGCGGUGAAAUGCAUAGAUAUCACGCAGAACUCCGAUUGCGAAGGCAGCGUACCGGCGCCCAACUGACGCUGAAGCACGAAGGCGUGGGUAUCGAACAGG